This 473-nucleotide ribosomal RNA is filed under the name uncultured bacterium. Its description in RNAcentral is "bacterial SSU rRNA". It matches the Rfam family "Bacterial small subunit ribosomal RNA", at positions 335 to 799 of the family's 1533-position model. The record is from RNAcentral.
ACUCCUACGGGAGGCAGCAGUGGGGAAUAUUGCACAAUGGGCGCAAGCCUGAUGCAGCCAUGCCGCGUGUAUGAAGAAGGCCUUCGGGUUGUAAAGUACUUUCAGCAGUGAGGAAGGUGGAUAUGUUAAUAGCAUAUUCAUUUGACGUUAGCUGCAGAAGAAGCACCGGCUAACUCCGUGCCAGCAGCCGCGGUAAUACGGAGGGUGCGAGCGUUAAUCGGAAUUACUGGGCGUAAAGCGCAUGCAGGUGGUUUGUUAAGUCAGAUGUGAAAGCCCGGGGCUCAACCUCGGAAUUGCAUUUGAAACUGGCAAACUAGAGUACUGUAGAGGGGGGUAGAAUUUCAGGUGUAGCGGUGAAAUGCGUAGAGAUCUGAAGGAAUACCGGUGGCGAAGGCGGCCCCCUGGACAGAUACUGACACUCAGAUGCGAAAGCGUGGGGAGCAAACAGGAUUAGAUACCCUGGUAGGAUAGCG